Molecule: non-coding RNA, 48 nt
Filed under: Schistosoma curassoni
Lineage: Eukaryota; Metazoa; Platyhelminthes; Trematoda; Strigeidida; Schistosomatidae
Source: RNAcentral
AUCCAGUUGAUAAGUCCCAAAUAGGAGGAAACGCGCAUCACACUGGAU